GGAGAAGAUCCUUGUCCCCAAGGAUCAAAACUCGGAAAUUGGCCUCGGAGCACAGAAUAAUCCUCCCAUGUGUCGUUCGUAGCAUCCAGGAGGAUCUGUUGAAGACGAUACGGUUGCCCCAAUAUGUUUCUUCAAUAAACUAACAUGAAAAACCGGAUGGAGACGGGAAGUCUCAGGGCAAGAGAGGUCUGUCUGUAGGGCUGUAAUUUCAGGCUAUUAGACUGAACACGUGGGCUAAACCUUCUCCAUUUGGGUUAACUGGGCUGUUGACUC
Long non-coding RNA from Hibiscus syriacus, 273 nucleotides. RefSeq lists it as uncharacterized. The record is from RefSeq and is a predicted model, not a curated record. Lineage: Eukaryota; Viridiplantae; Streptophyta; Magnoliopsida; Malvales; Malvaceae. The transcript has 4 exons.